RNAcentral lists this ribosomal RNA (385 nucleotides) under uncultured bacterium. Its description in RNAcentral is "bacterial SSU rRNA". It matches the Rfam family "Bacterial small subunit ribosomal RNA", at positions 30 to 415 of the family's 1533-position model. The record is from RNAcentral.
AUUGAACGCUGGCGGCAUGCCUUACACAUGCAAGUCGAACGGCAGCGGACCUUCGGGUGCCGGCGAGUGGCGAACGGGUGGAGUAAUAUAUCGGAACGUACCUUUCAGUGGGGGAUAACGUAGCGAAAGUUACGCUAAUACCGCAUAUUCUGUGAGCAGGAAAGCAGGGGAUCGCAAGACCUUGCGCUGAUUGAGCGGCCGAUAUCAGAUUAGCUAGUUGGUGAGGUAAAGGCUCACCAACGGCGACGAUCUGUAGCGGGUCUGAGAGGAUGAUCCGCCACACUGGAACUGAGACACGGUCCAGACUCCUACGGGAGGCAGCAGUGGGGAAUUUUGGACAAUGGGCGCAAGCCUGAUCCAGCCAUGCCGCGUGAGUGAAGAGGCC